RNAcentral lists this transfer RNA (77 nucleotides) under Phytohabitans flavus. Its description in RNAcentral is "tRNA-His". It matches the Rfam family "tRNA". Rfam says of the family: Transfer RNA (tRNA) molecules are approximately 80 nucleotides in length. Their secondary structure includes four short double-helical elements and three loops (D, anti-codon, and T loops). Further hydrogen bonds mediate the characteristic L-shaped molecular structure. tRNAs have two regions of fundamental functional importance: the anti-codon, which is responsible for specific mRNA codon recognition, and the 3' end, to which the tRNAs corresponding amino acid is attached (by aminoacyl-tRNA synthetases). tRNAs cope with the degeneracy of the genetic code in two manners: having more than one tRNA (with a specific anti-codon) for a particular amino acid; and 'wobble' base-pairing, i.e. permitting non-standard base-pairing at the 3rd anti-codon position. Lineage: Bacteria; Bacillati; Actinomycetota; Actinomycetes; Micromonosporales; Micromonosporaceae. The record is from RNAcentral.
GUAGCUGUGGUGUACCGGAGGUGCACGCCAGAUUGUGGCUCUGGAAGGCGCGGGUUCGACUCCCCGUGGCUACCCCA